Molecule: ribosomal RNA, 759 nt
Filed under: Salmonella enterica subsp. enterica serovar Kentucky
Lineage: Bacteria; Pseudomonadati; Pseudomonadota; Gammaproteobacteria; Enterobacterales; Enterobacteriaceae
Description: bacterial LSU rRNA
Rfam family: Bacterial large subunit ribosomal RNA
Source: RNAcentral
UAGCUGGUUCUCCCCGAAAGCUAUUUAGGUAGCGCCUCGUGAACUCAUCUUCGGGGGUAGAGCACUGUUUCGGCUAGGGGGUCAUCCCGACUUACCAACCCGAUGCAAACUGCGAAUACCGAAGAAUGUUAUCACGGGAGACACACGGCGGGUGCUAACGUCCGUCGUGAAGAGGGAAACAACCCAGACCGCCAGCUAAGGUCCCAAAGUCAUGGUUAAGUGGGAAACGAUGUGGGAAGGCCCAGACAGCCAGGAUGUUGGCUUAGAAGCAGCCAUCAUUUAAAGAAAGCGUAAUAGCUCACUGGUCGAGUCGGCCUGCGCGGAAGAUGUAACGGGGCUAAACUGUGCACCGAAGCUGCGGCAGCGACGCUUAUGCGUUGUUGGGUAGGGGAGCGUUCUGUAAGCCUGCGAAGGUGUCCUGUGAGGGAUGCUGGAGGUAUCAGAAGUGCGAAUGCUGACAUAAGUAACGAUAAUGCGGGUGAAAAGCCCGCUCGCCGGAAGACCAAGGGUUCCUGUCCAACGUUAAUCGGGGCAGGGUGAGUCGACCCCUAAGGCGAGGCCGAAAGGCGUAGUCGAUGGGAAACGGGUUAAUAUUCCCGUACUUGGUGUUACUGCGAAGGGGGGACGGAGAAGGCUAUGUUGGCCGGGCGACGGUUGUCCCGGUUUAAGCGUGUAGGCUGGUUUUCCAGGCAAAUCCGGAAAAUCAAGGCUGAGGCGUGAUGACGAGGCACUACGGUGCUGAAGCAACAAAUGCCCUGC